Molecule: long non-coding RNA, 956 nt
Filed under: Gossypium barbadense (sea-island cotton)
Lineage: Eukaryota; Viridiplantae; Streptophyta; Magnoliopsida; Malvales; Malvaceae
Description: long non-coding RNA (GBAR_LNC010272)
Source: RNAcentral
UCAAAGAAAACGUAGUGAAAAGCACAAAGAAGCCGACCACAAAUGCGAGGAAAUAGCAACGACGACGAUGGAAGUCCUGGUGGGCGCCAUCACCAUCAAGUAAGCCUUCUUCUUCAAUGGCAUCGAACUCUUUCCAUGGCUUGCGACCCUUGCGAGAUCCGUCGUGCUUACGCUGUGGUUUCAUGGAUCCAGACAAGCGGGUUGAAGAAGACUCACGGGAGGAAUGAGGGCCUAAUGAAGAGUUGGAGUGAGAGUGAGGAGGUGAGCCCAUGGGGCUGAGCACCGGUGUGGAGUGGAAUGAGUUAGUGGUCUUUUCACCAUCAUGAGAGUCCCUGGAUGGACUCUGCACAUAGUAGACUUGGCGACGAUCCGAUCUUGCCGGUGAAGAUUGACUUAGGCUGCUCACCUCUGAGUCUGUCUUGGAGAGAUGAGCCGACAUUUUCUCCAGUUCUAGCUGUUGUUUUGUAAGUCGAAGACCCAAUGCUAGUGAUGAAGGAGGAGGAGGAGAAGAAGAAAUAGCAAGAGAGAGUAUGAAAAUGGGGUUUACUUGAGAAUUAAAUGUUUAGUAAAAUUGUAGGAUCUCUGGAACGUACCUUUUGCUGUCUGCACGUAGCAAUUUAGUUUUGUUUAUUAUUAUCGAUGUGAAAAAGUAAUUAAUGAGAGCAGGUGGGGAGAGAGAGACAGAGCAAUGGCAGUUGUCCAGUGAAAUAGGUCAUUGUUUGUAUUCAUAUAUGAAAUUGUCAACUUUAACUAUUUUUUACACUCAACCAGUUUCACUGCAGAUCUACAUCUAGCCUGUGUGUCAACACAAAGAUUGGCUCUGUGAGUGAAAUCAAGAUCAAAGUAACAUCAAGGGAACUGUGUUGAAAGCACUGAGACAAGAUCAACCUGGAAGGAUUUGGAGUGGGCCUCAAAAUAUCACUGCAUCUUACAUUCUAAAUUGUAAACCAAAGGGG